AUUGAACGCUGGCGGCAUGCUUUACACAUGCAAGUCGAACGGCAGCGCGGGCUUCGGCCUGGCGGCGAGUGGCGAACGGGUGAGUAAUGCAUCGGAACGUGCCCAGUAGUGGGGGAUAGCCCGGCGAAAGCCGGAUUAAUACCGCAUACGACCUGAGGGUGAAAGCGGGGGACCGAAAGGCCUCGCGCUAUUGGAGCGGCCGAUGUCGGAUUAGCUAGUUGGUGGGGUAAAGGCUUACCAAGGCGACGAUCCGUAGCUGGUCUGAGAGGACGACCAGCCACACUGGGACUGAGACACGGCCCAGACUCCUACGGGAGGCAGCAGUGGGGAAUUUUGGACAAUGGGGGCAACCCUGAUCCAGCCAUGCCGCGUGCGGAAAGAAGGCCUUCGGGUUGUAAACCGCUUUUGUUCGGGAAGAAAUCCUCUGGGCUAAUACCCCGGGGGGAUGACGGUACCGGAAGAAUAAGCACCGGCUAACUACGU
This 483-nucleotide ribosomal RNA is filed under the name uncultured bacterium. Its description in RNAcentral is "partial 16S ribosomal RNA". It matches the Rfam family "Bacterial small subunit ribosomal RNA", at positions 29 to 506 of the family's 1533-position model. The record is from RNAcentral.